This 389-nucleotide long non-coding RNA is filed under the name Dasypus novemcinctus (nine-banded armadillo). RNAcentral describes it as "lncRNA (ENSDNOG00000052239.1)". Lineage: Eukaryota; Metazoa; Chordata; Mammalia; Cingulata; Dasypodidae. The record is from RNAcentral.
GUUGAUAUACAUGUUUUUUUCCUUACAUUUCUAGGAUUCCACUAUUGUGACUCCAAUUAUUUUGAGGACUGACCCUCAGGGAUUUUUCUUUUACUGGACAGAUCAAAAUAAGGGGCAGGAGUCCCAGCUCGGCCUGAAUGUUUCAGAGGCUGCCGCCUUAGGCCCCGACGUCCCUGUGGAGCUGUGCCUUGUUGGCCUCAGGUACCAACCCAGCAAGCCUGAGCAGUGAAAACCAUGUUACCUGAAAAAGCGUCUGCAUCGCGGUGUUGGAAGAACAGGUAAAGAAGACAGAACUGACCAAAACCUAAACUGCUAGAAUCUUCCACAAAGUAGACCUUUGCCUUGCAACUUGAUGCCCCUCUUUGGUGCCAAAGGUGGUGUAAAAAUAA